RNAcentral lists this ribosomal RNA (253 nucleotides) under uncultured bacterium. RNAcentral describes it as "partial 16S ribosomal RNA". It matches the Rfam family "Bacterial small subunit ribosomal RNA", at positions 524 to 776 of the family's 1533-position model. The record is from RNAcentral.
UACGAAGGGGGCUAGCGUUGUUCGGAUUUACUGGGCGUAAAGCGCGUGUAGGUGGCUUUAUAAGUCAGGGGUGAAAGCCCAGAGCUUAACUCUGGAAUUGCCUUUGAUACUGUAGAGCUAGAGUCUUGGAGAGGAAAGCAGAAUUCCGAGUGUAGAGGUGAAAUUCGUAGAUAUUCGGAGGAACACCGGUGGCGAAGGCGGCUUUCUGGACAAGCACUGACACUGAGAAGCGAAAGCGUGGGGAGCAAACAGG